Molecule: unclassified non-coding RNA, 341 nt
Filed under: Hevea brasiliensis (rubber tree)
Lineage: Eukaryota; Viridiplantae; Streptophyta; Magnoliopsida; Malpighiales; Euphorbiaceae
Source: RNAcentral
CUCCCGCGCAUAUAACAAUUCUGCCCAAUUUUACACAAUUCCUCCAGAGUCCCUUCUGCUCUAUUCUUCAUCCCUUAUAUUCUGCUUUGCUCCCAUUACUGUAACUGCUUUCAGCCACGUGUUCCUUCCUCCAUAUUUCUCUCCAACGUCCAUUUCCAGCUGUGUAGUACUCUCCUUGUCUAUUUGCAGCAGUUUGUCUCUUCCUUCGUUCCUCCUUCUAGUAUAAACUUUGAAUGGUCUUGGGCCAGAAAGAGUAAUAGCACCUGGGAACAUACAUAAACUUAUAAUUGAAGAAGUUAAUGAACUAAAUUUUCAUCUCAUAAAACUCCCUCUUUUUGAGU